CUUUAUUGGAGAGUUUGAUCCUGGCUCAGGAUGAACGCUGGCGGCGUGCCUAAUACAUGCAAGUCGAGCGAAUGGAUUAAGAGCUUGCUCUUAUGAAGUUAGCGGCGGACGGGUGAGUAACACGUGGGUAACCUGCCCAUAAGACUGGGAUAACUCCGGGAAACCGGGGCUAAUACCGGAUAACAUUUUGAACCGCAUGGUUCGAAAUUGAAAGGCGGCUUCGGCUGUCACUUAUGGAUGGACCCGCGUCGCAUUA
RNAcentral lists this ribosomal RNA (256 nucleotides) under Bacillus sp. cl115. Its description in RNAcentral is "16S rRNA. Bacterial SSU". It matches the Rfam family "Bacterial small subunit ribosomal RNA", at positions 1 to 243 of the family's 1533-position model. Lineage: Bacteria; Bacillati; Bacillota; Bacilli; Caryophanales; Bacillaceae. The record is from RNAcentral.